CUGCCCUUUAUAUAGACCACCCUCGGAAGCCAGCCUCUUCGACUUAGGACCAGAGAUGCGGGCAUGGCUACACGACACCGAGUUGGACCUCUGGCGUUCCACGAAAGAAGAAGAACAUAUCAGCAUGCUAAAACACAAAAACUUUGAGACA
Long non-coding RNA from Notothenia coriiceps (black rockcod), 151 nucleotides. RefSeq lists it as uncharacterized. NCBI's taxonomy places the organism in Eukaryota, Metazoa, Chordata, Actinopteri, Perciformes, Nototheniidae. The record is from RefSeq and is a predicted model, not a curated record. The transcript is spliced from 3 exons.